Henosepilachna vigintioctopunctata is the source of this 75-nucleotide non-coding RNA. The record is from the annotation of a GenBank genome assembly. Lineage: Eukaryota; Metazoa; Arthropoda; Insecta; Coleoptera; Coccinellidae.
UCCUCGAUAGCUUAGUGGUCAGAGCAGCGGGGCAAAAAUCUGAAGACCUGGGUUCGAAUCCAAGUCGAGUUCAAA